This 26-nucleotide non-coding RNA is filed under the name Rattus norvegicus (Norway rat). Lineage: Eukaryota; Metazoa; Chordata; Mammalia; Rodentia; Muridae. The record is from RNAcentral.
UAAGAAACCCUAACUGCCACUUUGCU